CUCUCUCUCUCUCUCUCUUCUUCCCUCUUGGUUGACAUGUUUGUGUUACAUUGCUUAAGGUAGAUGUUAUAUUCAACCUAAAAGCUAGCUAUUCUCACCCUUCCAUCCUGCAUGAAUGAACAAUGGGCCGUGAUCAAACAGGUUUCUGUAGGAAGUGAUUUUUUCUAAACUCAACCCUUGUAAUGGGACAUGUUCUAUAGAAUUUGUAUUAUCUUUAGGUGUGUUCUAAGGGGUGAGUUAAUCCUUUCUUUGCACUACUGGUGGGUUCCUAAUAGACUUGAAAAAGGUGGUCUUCACAUGGAUCUUGGUUCAAGACUUCCAGUUGCUUCUGUUGCUGUCUUUUGGACCCUUCUUCCCUUCAUUGCCCUUUUUUCAGGAUGAAAAUGGUUUUGGGACCUACAUUUCAAUUGCCAUUUUGCAGUUUCUUCGUUAUGGCUUAGCAUGUUCGUUUCUCCAUCAUUAUCCUGCCGGAUGUUUGCUUGUUGAUUAACUUUAGUUCAAGUUGAUGGCAUCUCAAGGACUUUUUCACUAAAAUUCUCUCAUGGACUUUUUCACUAAAACUCAUCUGUGAUGAUUCACAUUCAAAGAGGUAAAGUACACUGUUGUCUUUUACCAUUCUCUGGCAGUCUUGUUUGGUCCAUUCAAACUGAAGCAUGUAGUAAUGAGGGAUAAGGUGGAAUUAUUGGAGAUUUAAAUUUUAGUAAAGCUUAUUUUGGAAAGAAAUUUAGGAAAUUUAUUUAAGUACUAGUAUUUUAUUUUUUUAGCAAAUUUAAGCUGGUUUAGCAUUUCUACUUAGUAUUAGCCUCAUAUUAAUAGGACUAGUUAUCAUACCAUAAAUGCCUAUGUCAUCUAAGUAUUCUAAUAGAGCUUAUUAUGAUUAUUGUUGACAAUUGAGAACUAGUAAAAAUUUUAUUUUCUAUUAUAUAUAUAAAAAAAUUAAUAAGAAUUUUGAGAAUUUUAUUAAUUUCCCCUUUGAUUGUUCUAUUGGUUAUACAUCAGAAUGCCUCCUCCUCAAGGAGACUGGAUCUGAGUUAUCGUAGGCUAGACGAAGAAAUAAUUCGACUUAAAUUUUAGAAGUGGAAAUUCUGCCUUCUUUUUUUCUUAGGAGUAUAAAUUUUGAAGUGAUAUGAUGAAUUAAUAAUAAGCUUAUUAUUUUGCUGUGUCUCAAGUCUCAACAUAAUAGGUUCCAUUUCCAUCAUAU
Molecule: unclassified non-coding RNA, 1201 nt
Filed under: Hevea brasiliensis (rubber tree)
Lineage: Eukaryota; Viridiplantae; Streptophyta; Magnoliopsida; Malpighiales; Euphorbiaceae
Source: RNAcentral